UACGGAGGUGGCUAGCGUUGUUCGGAUUUAUUGGGUGUAAAGGGUCUGUAGGCGGCUUGGCAAGUUGGGUGUGAAAUCUCGCGGCUUAACCGCGAAACUGCGCUCAAAACUACCGAGCUUGAGUUUGGGAGAGGAAGAUGGAAUUCCCGGUGUAAGGGUGAAAUCUGCAGAUAUCGGGAAGAACACCAGUUGCGAAGGCGAUCUUCUGGCCUAAAACUGACGCUGAGAGACGAAAGCUAGGGGAGCGAACGGG
Molecule: unclassified non-coding RNA, 253 nt
Filed under: uncultured bacterium
Lineage: Bacteria
Description: contains 16S-23S intergenic spacer region
Rfam family: Bacterial small subunit ribosomal RNA
Source: RNAcentral